AAAAGGUGGCAGAGAGAGAAAAAGAAGACAGAGGAAGGCUUACCUCUACAUGAGGGGCUAGACCAUGGAGUGUCCCUUCAACCUCAACUGACCUGUGAUAUGGCUCAUGAUACGGCUUAUUCGUUAUGUUCCAGUUUCCAGGCUAAUUCUAUGUUCAGAAGCCUAGUGAAUGAGUCAAUGCAAUGAUUAAUCAGCUUCCAUGUUCAGAAUUACUGAUAGCUCUGGCCUUCCUAAUAGCUCAGUGAGUGUGAACGUUAUGAUAUUCUACCCUCACAGAGUUCCUGAGUACUGAG
This 293-nucleotide long non-coding RNA is filed under the name Homo sapiens (human). RNAcentral describes it as "HSALNT0312244". The record is from RNAcentral. Lineage: Eukaryota; Metazoa; Chordata; Mammalia; Primates; Hominidae.